UACAUGGGGUGCAAACGUUGCUCGGAAUUAUUGGGCGUAAAGCGCGCGUAGGCGGUUACUCAAGUCGGAUGUGAAAGCCCUGGGCUUAACCUAGGAAGUGCACUCGAAACUGCCGAGCUUGAGUUCUGGAGAGGAAGGCGGAAUUCUCGGUGUAGAGGUGAAAUUCGUAGAUAUCGAGAGGAACACCGGUGGCGAAGGCGGCCUUCUGGACAGCAACUGACGCUGAGACGCGAAAGCGUGGGGAGCAAACAGG
This 253-nucleotide ribosomal RNA is filed under the name uncultured bacterium. RNAcentral describes it as "partial 16S ribosomal RNA". It matches the Rfam family "Bacterial small subunit ribosomal RNA", at positions 524 to 776 of the family's 1533-position model. The record is from RNAcentral.